RNAcentral lists this ribozyme (73 nucleotides) under Aedes aegypti (yellow fever mosquito). RNAcentral describes it as "drz-agam-1 ribozyme". It matches the Rfam family "drz-agam-1 ribozyme". The record is from Rfam by way of RNAcentral. Lineage: Eukaryota; Metazoa; Arthropoda; Insecta; Diptera; Culicidae.
UGCCCAGCAACUCCUAUCCCUACCUCCUCGUGGUACCCCGGUGGGAACUCUGGUCGUGUGCUGACAGGGAAGG